AUUGAACGCUGGCGGCAUGCCUUACACAUGCAAAUCGAACGGUAACGGGCCUUCGGGUGCCGACGAGUGGCGAACGGGUGAGUAAUACAUCGGAACGUGCCCGAUCGUGGGGGAUAACGAGGCGAAAGCUUUGCUAAUACCGCAUACGAUCUACGGAUGAAAGCAGGGGACCGCAAGGCCUUGCGCGGACGGAGCGGCCGAUGGCAGAUUAGGUAGUUGGUGGGAUAAAAGCUUACCAAGCCGACGAUCUGUAGCUGGUCUGAGAGGAUGAUCAGCCACACUGGGACUGCGACACGGCCCAGACUCCUACGGGAGGCAGCAGUGGGGAAUUUUGGACAAUGGGCGCAAGCCUGAUCCAGCCAUGCGGCGUGCAGGAUGAAGGCCUUCGGGUUGUAAACUGAUUUUGUACGGAACGAAAAGCCUUCUUUUAAUACAGGAGGGUCAUGACGGUACCGUAAGAAUAAGCACCGGCUAACUACGUG
RNAcentral lists this ribosomal RNA (482 nucleotides) under uncultured bacterium. RNAcentral describes it as "partial 16S ribosomal RNA". It matches the Rfam family "Bacterial small subunit ribosomal RNA", at positions 30 to 507 of the family's 1533-position model. The record is from RNAcentral.